CCUACGGGUGGCAGCAGUGGGGAAUAUUGCACAAUGGGCGAAACCCUGAUGCAGCAACGCCGCGUGAAUGAGGAAGUAUUUCGGUCUGUAAAGCUCUAUCAGCAGGGAAUAGCAAAGGAGGUACCUGAAAAAGCAACCCCGGCUAACUACGUUCCAACAGCCGCGGUAAUACGUGGGGGGCAAGCGUUAUCCGGAUUUACUGGUUGGAAAGGGAGCGUAGACGGCAAGGCAAGUCAGAAGUGAAAGCCCAAGGCCCAAAGAUGGGACUGCUUUUGAAACUGUCAAACUAGAGUACGGGAGAGGUAAGAGGAAUGCCUGGUGUAGCGGUGAAAUGCGUAGAUAUUAGGAGGAACACCAGUGGCGAAGGCGUCUUACGGGACCGAAACUGACGUUGAGGCUCGAAAGCGUGGGGAGCAAACAGGAUUAGAUACCCUUGUAGUC
RNAcentral lists this ribosomal RNA (441 nucleotides) under uncultured bacterium. Its description in RNAcentral is "partial 16S ribosomal RNA". It matches the Rfam family "Bacterial small subunit ribosomal RNA", at positions 338 to 795 of the family's 1533-position model. The record is from RNAcentral.